RNAcentral lists this ribosomal RNA (484 nucleotides) under Actinomyces sp. 'ARUP UnID 75'. Its description in RNAcentral is "bacterial SSU rRNA". It matches the Rfam family "Bacterial small subunit ribosomal RNA", at positions 27 to 506 of the family's 1533-position model. The record is from RNAcentral. Lineage: Bacteria; Bacillati; Actinomycetota; Actinomycetes; Actinomycetales; Actinomycetaceae.
GGACGAACGCUGGCGGCGUGCUUAACACAUGCAAGUCGAACGCUGAAGGCUCAGCUUGCUGGGCUGGAUGAGUGGCGAACGGGUGAGUAACACGUGAGUAACCUGCCCUCUUCUUUGGGAUAACGGUCGGAAACGGCUGCUAAUACCGGGUAUUCACUGUCCUUCGCAUGGGGGGUGGUGGAAAGGUUUUUUCUGGUGGGGGAUGGGCUCGCGGCCUAUCAGCUUGUUGGUGGGGUGAUGGCUUACCAAGGCUUUGACGGGUAACCGGCCUGAGAGGGUGACCGGUCACAUUGGGACUGAGAUACGGCCCAGACUCCUACGGGAGGCAGCAGUGGGGAAUAUUGCACAAUGGGCGAAAGCCUGAUGCAGCGACGCCGCGUGAGGGAUGAAGGCCUUCGGGUUGUAAACCUCUUUCGCUCAUGGUCAAGCCGCAACUKUGGGUUGUGGUGAGGGUAGUGGGUAAAGAAGCACCGGCUAACUACGU